This 743-nucleotide ribosomal RNA is filed under the name uncultured bacterium. RNAcentral's name for it is "bacterial SSU rRNA". It matches the Rfam family "Bacterial small subunit ribosomal RNA", at positions 31 to 769 of the family's 1533-position model. The record is from RNAcentral.
GAACGCUGGCGGCAGGCCUAACACAUGCAAGUCGAGCGGAUGAGUGGAGCUUGCUCCAUGAUUCAGCGGCGGACGGGUGAGUAAUGCCUAGGAAUCUGCCUGGUAGUGGGGGACAACGUUUCGAAAGGAACGCUAAUACCGCAUACGUCCUACGGGAGAAAGUGGGGGAUCUUCGGACCUCACGCUAUCAGAUGAGCCUAGGUCGGAUUAGCUAGUUGGUGAGGUAAAGGCUCACCAAGGCGACGAUCCGUAACUGGUCUGAGAGGAUGAUCAGUCACACUGGAACUGAGACACGGUCCAGACUCCUACGGGAGGCAGCAGUGGGGAAUAUUGGACAAUGGGCGAAAGCCUGACCCAGCCAUGCCGCGUGUGUGAAGAAGGUCUUCGGAUUGUAAAGCACUUUAAGUUGGGAGGAAGGGCAGUAAGUUAAUACCUUGCUGUUUUGACGUUACCAACAGAAUAAGCACCGGCUAACUUCGUGCCAGCAGCCGCGGUAAUACGAAGGGUGCAAGCGUUAAUCGGAAUUACUGGGCGUAAAGCGCGCGUAGGUGGUUCGUUAAGUUGGAUGUGAAAGCCCCGGGCUCAACCUGGGAACUGCAUCCAAAACUGGCGAGCUAGAGUAUGGCAGAGGGUGGUGGAAUUUCCUGUGUAGCGGUGAAAUGCGUAGAUAUAGGAAGGAACACCAGUGGCGAAGGCGACCACCUGGGCUAAUACUGACACUGAGGUGCGAAAGCGUGGGGAGC